UACAGAGACCUCAAGCGUUAUCCGGAAUCAUUGGGCGUAAAGCGUACCGAUAGGUGGUUACGAAAGUCAGAUGUGAAAUCUCCGAGCUCAACUCGGAAUCCGUCAUUUGAAACUUCUUGACUAGAGGGGCAAAGAGGAAGCUGGAACGAACGGUGUAGUAGUGAAAUGCGUUGAUAUCGUUCGGAACACCAAUAGCGAAGGCAGGCUUCUGGGUGCCACCUGACACUGCUAGGACGAAAGCGUGGGGAGCGAAUGGG
RNAcentral lists this ribosomal RNA (257 nucleotides) under uncultured bacterium. RNAcentral describes it as "partial 16S ribosomal RNA". It matches the Rfam family "Bacterial small subunit ribosomal RNA", at positions 524 to 776 of the family's 1533-position model. The record is from RNAcentral.